AAAAGGAAACCAUGUUAAUUUAUCAAAAUUGUCAAGAACUAUUACUAAUCCCAAGUGUUAAUCUGACUCCAUCAUGGAAUGAAAUAGGUGUAAUGCCAAGCACUUGAAUCAAUUUGCUGAUGUCCAUGGAUAUGUCUGCUGGGGAGACAACUCCGCGGUUUGCCUACAGAGACAAAGAUGCUGUCUGUAAAAGAUCAAACAUGAACUAUUACUAAUCCCAAGUGUUAAUCUGACUCCAUCAUGGAAUGAAAUAGGUGUAAUGCCAAGCACUUGAAUCAAUUUGCUGAUGUCCAUGGAUAUGUCUGCUGGGGAGACAACUCCGCGGUUUGGAACAUAAUACAUAAACACAAACAUGGUACAUAUUGAAUGAUAUAAAAGAACAUUGAUAAGCAUUGGUGCAAAGAGAAAAUAUAAGAUCAAAGAAACUCCUAAUUGUCAUCUGUACAUUUAUCUAGACAAGAACUUAUAACUCCAAGAGAGAAAACUUUGCAAUAUCAUGGUAGCCGUAAUUGCCUGAUAACCAAAACUUAUCUAGCGCUU
This 540-nucleotide long non-coding RNA is filed under the name Phoenix dactylifera (date palm). Its description in RNAcentral is "long non-coding RNA (PDAC_LNC002099)". The record is from RNAcentral. Lineage: Eukaryota; Viridiplantae; Streptophyta; Magnoliopsida; Arecales; Arecaceae.